This is a long non-coding RNA of Lates calcarifer (barramundi perch), 1326 nucleotides long. RefSeq lists it as uncharacterized. The record is from RefSeq and is a predicted model, not a curated record. The transcript is spliced from 2 exons. NCBI's taxonomy places the organism in Eukaryota, Metazoa, Chordata, Actinopteri, Centropomidae.
GCCAUGCCCAUUGAAGCCAUAUCGCCCGGUACUGCUGAGGUCACGUAAGGACAGGUCCGGUUGCAUACAAGUAUUUGUGCACCGUGGUGCUAUUCAAGGUCUCCUAACAGGAAACAGGAAAUAAUUUAACUGGGGUGAGCAAUCCACAGUCCACAGGCAAAAAAGCAGUGUGCCGGCAAUGGCUGGUGUUCAUCUAUGAACAUCUGUGAGCUAAGAAGUGGGGGCCACAGCGUAAAAUCCAGUAAAAUAACAGCUAAAUGAAAUGCUGUCUUCAUAUCUCUCCUCAAUUGAUCUCAGGGUGAAACACUUUCUGUGCGGCAUGAAAGUAGAAGCCGAUGCUGUGUCUCACAGGCAGUCUGCUGCACCUCCAGUCACCAGUCUGCCAAACUGAAGUUUGCUGAUGACACCACUCUCAUUGGGCUUAUCUCUGGGGGGAUGAGUCUGCCUACAGGAGGGAGAUUGAUCAGACAGUGGAGAUAGUUGUAGACUUCAGGAAGAACACAGCUUCACCCUCCCCCAUCAUCCUGUGUGACUCCCCAGUCAGAACUGCGGAGUCCUUCCAUUUCCCGGGGACCAUCAUCACCUAGGACCUCAAGUGGGAGCUAAACAUCAGCUCCCUGAUCAAGAAGGCCCAGCAGAGGAUGUACUUCCUGCUGCAGUUGAAGAAGUUCAACCUGCCAAGGACAAUGAUGGUGCACUUCUACACCUCCAUCAUAUCCUCCAUCCUCACCUCCUCCAUCACAUUCUGGUACACUGCUGCUACUGCCAGGGACAGAGGCAGACUGCAGCGUGUCAUCCGGUCUGCUGAGAAGGUGAUCGGCUGUAACCUGCCUUCUCUCCAGGACCUGUACACCUCCAGGACCCUGAGGCGAGCAGGAAAGAUCAUGGCAGAUCCCUCCCUGGUCACAAACUCUUCAGGACACUCCCUUCUUGCAGGAGGUUGUGGUCCAUUAAAGCCAAGACCUCACGCCACAAGAACAGUUUCUUCCCCUCUGCAUCUGGCCUCCUCAACAAGAUCUAGCCCCCCCUCAACACACACACGCAGACUGACACAGACUAUAAUCCCCCCACCCCCCACUACAUGUUACAUUAACGUACAUCUAUGCGUUGCAUUACUGUGCAUCUCUCUGGACAAUCACUGCCACCUUCAAACAUUUGCACUCUACACUUUACAUUUUAAUUAUGUAUAUUUAUGCUCCUUAUAAAUAUAGUUUUUGCUUUUUGCUCUUUUUUUUUCACUAUCACUGUCCUUUAGCACGGAUAUACCAAGACAAAUUCCUUGUAUGUGCAAACUUACUUGGCAAUAAAGUCUGAUUCUGAUUCUGA